RNAcentral lists this long non-coding RNA (2291 nucleotides) under Homo sapiens (human). RNAcentral describes it as "HSALNT0259155". Lineage: Eukaryota; Metazoa; Chordata; Mammalia; Primates; Hominidae. The record is from RNAcentral.
CCGGAUGCUGCCUUAAGCCUUAUGAGGUCGCCACGGAACCGCAGGAUUGGGACUGAUGACUUUAUAAGAAGAAGAGAGGCCUCAACUAGCACAUUUGCAUGUUCAGCCCACUUGCCAUUUGAUGCCCUGCAAAGCCUCGGAAUUCAGCAGAGUCCCCACCAGCAAGAAGGCCCUCAAUAGACACAGCCCUUUGAGGCUGGACUUCUCAACCUCCAAAACGCCUGAUUAAUGACAGAGCUGCUUCAUUGUUCAGUCCGAGCUGAUUUUCAUUCCACAGAAGAGGAAAGCAAAUGCCCCCACGCCCAGAAAAAAUAAAAAUUACACUUCAUGGAACAAAACGGAAACACAAACUCAUCUGGAUGUUGACUUGUCUAUAUGCAACAGCAAUCAUUUCCUCCUCUCCCCGCUGCCUUCCUAAAGAACAGCAGGAUUGGGAAAGGAGACGGGAAUCUUGAGACCGCGGGCCUUUCCUGGAGCCGGCCUUGGCUGAGCAGGACACACCCCCGCUAGCGCACUUGCUCCCUCCGUCUACUGCGCGCAAAACCCGAUGGAAAUAACAGGGAGCCUGGAAUAAAGCUGACCCUUUCCCGUAUCAGAGCGAAAGGCCAGGUACACGAAGACGGGGCUGGGAUCUGUCUCCGAGUUCCCCGCAGUUUCCAUGGGAGGGAGCUCGGGUAAAGCUGUGCAAUCUGCAGUUCUUCAGACUGCGUCUUUUUGUUUGGGGGCCUUCAUUCACUCCGGGGUUCCUGUAUCUAACUCGGAGCCAUUCCGGGCCGCUGGACCUGGGCGGCUCUGAAGCGAGAAGGCAGAGGACGCAACAGGGCACCCGGCGCCCAGUCAGCGCCACAAACUCCACAGCUACUGCCUCCUGGCUCACACUGAGGUCUGCGCCGCCCCCGCGCCACCCCCGCGCCCAUUGCCUCGGUGCAAGCGACCAACUCACCUCUCGGAGCCGACACCAGCAGCGAAGCCGGAAAGAACUGCGAGCGGAGGCCUGUGGGAAAUGUAGUCCGCCGAUGGGAGGGACUGGUUCCAGCCCCAACGGGCUGCGCGGAGUGCGCAUGCGCGGGGGCCGGAGCCCCGGGUGCGCUCGGGGCGGGAAGGCCCUCCGCGCUGCGUGGGGCUGAGGCGAGCUCGGGCUUGCGUUUGCUUUUGUCGCUGAGGAAGACUUUUAUUUGUUUAUUUUCUUGAGACAGGGUCUUACUCUGUCGCCCAGGCUGGAGUGCAGUGGCGUGAUUAGAGCUCACUGCAGCCGCGACCUCCCGGGCUCAAGCGACCCUCCCACCCGAGCCUCCAGAGUAGCUGGGACUGCAGGCGCGCGCCACCACGCCCAACUCAUUUUUUAAGUUUUUAUAGAGACCAGAUCUCCCUAUGUUACCCAAGCCGGUGUCGAACUCCUGGGCUUAAAAGAUCCUCCCGCCUGAGCCUCCCAAAGUGCUGGGACUACAGGCGUGAGCCACCAGGCUCAGCCGCGGAGGAUUUAGAAAGAAGUUUUGGCACCAGCAGAUGCCUAAUAUGUGUACUAAACACCUACCAGUUACUCACUGCAUACACCCAAGCAAGGUGUGGGCACACAUCAGGCAUGCAAUGAAAAUACUCUCAAAGCCCACCAGAACCUGGAGCAGGACGUAAACCUAGAAAGGUCGCUCGUGCUCACUGCCCUCUCCCUUUCUCCCACUCUGUCUCUGUCUCUGUGUGUGUGUGUGUGUGUGUGUGUGUGUGUGUGUGUGUGUGUGUCUCGUAUCUCCUGCAGUUGUGAAUGUAUUGUUCUACUAAAAAUACAAAAAAUUAGCCGGGCGUGGUCGCGCGCGCCUGUAAUCCCAGCUACUCAGGAGGCUGAGGCAGGAAAAUCGCUUGAACCCGGGAAGCGGAGGUUGCAUUGAGCUGAGAUCCGCCAUUGCACCCCAGCUUGGGCAACAAGAGCGAAACUCCGUUUCAAAAGAAAAAGACUAACUGGAGAGGUCUGUCUCCAAUGAGACUGAAUUUGUCCUGUCCUGCGUUCCUUCAGGAAAGAAAUGGGAUAAGCCCACCAGGGACCACCCUGAGGCAUCUUCUGUAUCCCAAAUUCUUUGAUAUAUUAGUUAAUACAUGAAAGAAUUUGUUCUUUCCUUAAGAAUAUAAAACUUUAGAAGAUAUUUGAAAAUGCCUCGGCAAUCUGGUUUCAUUUUGCAAACAAUAGGAUAUGCAUGAAAUAGGAGAUAAAUGAAAAAUCUGAGCUACUUUAUAACUACUAAGAAGGUGGCCAGACGCGGUGGCUGACGCCUAUAAUCCCAUCACUUUCGGGGGGCCGA